AAGAGAAGGAAAGAGAGUUGAAACAGAGACUGUAUCCAUAUAUCCCUGAUCUUUUAGUUUUAUGUGUUCAUCUGGUUCUUUGGUUCUGGCACAAAGAAAAUUUCCCAGAUUUCCAAGGCUAUGGAAGAUGAAAGAGGGAGUCUCUUACCAAAGAACAAGGAGAACCAUGUCUACUUAACCCAUGAUGGAGAAGAAUUAAGGAGCUUCAGGUCAUGCCUUUAUGUGGAUCAAUCCAACGUAUGGAAAGCUUGUCUUUCUUGGUCCGUGUUCUUCUCUUUGGCCUUCAUUGUACCCGUUCUGUCACACUUUCUGCUUGAUUGUCCAACAACCUGCGACGCUGAUCAUAAUCGACCAUAUCACAUACCCGUUCAGAUUUCUCUCUCUGUGUUCGCAACUCUCUCUUUCAUCACCCUCUCUCGUUGGGAUCGCAAAUAUGGUUUGAGCAAGUUUCUUUUCCUUGAUAAAGUAAGUGAUGAAAGCCUCAAGAUUCAACGAGGAUAUGCAGAACAGAUUCAGCGAACCAGGAAGCUCAUCUUGCUUUGGGGACUUCCCUGUUUCAUAGCUGAAUGUGUGUAUAAGAUAUGGUGGUUUGUCUCAGGAGCAUCACAAAUACCAUAUUAUGGUGAUAUAUACCUUAGCAGCAUCAUUUUGUGCACAUUGGAGCUAUUUUCUUGGCUUUAUCGAACUUCCAUUUUCUUCCUUGUGUGUGUCCUCUUUCGACUUAUCUGCCACUUGCAAAUACUAAGACUUGAUGAAUUCGCUCCAGUUUUCCAAAGAGAAACUGAGGUGGCAUCAAUCUUGAUGGAGCACCUAAAAAUAAGAAGGAAUCUGCGGGUCAUUAGCCAUCGUUUUCGAGGUUUUAUUUUGGCUUCUCUAAUUUUGGUAACAGCAAGCCAGCUAAUUUUUCUGCUUAUGGCUACGAGACCCCAUGCUGAUGUUGAUAUCCUCAAGGCUGGAGAACUUGCGUUAGUCUCCAUCACCCUGGUGAGUGGACUUUACAUACUCUUGCGAAGUGCAACUAAGAUCACACAUAAAGCACAAUCCACUACUGGACUUGCUGCUAAGUGGCAUGUUUGUGCCACCAUAAACUCAUUUGACAACAUGGAAGGAGAGACACCAACAGAACAGGUAGCUUCAGCCCAAGCUUUUGCUGCUAAUAUUAGUUGGGGAUCUUCGGAUGAUGAGGUAGGAGAUGAAGAGGAUGAGUUGGAUAACACAAAAUUAAUGCCAAUUUACACCUAUACCAUCUCAUUCCACAAGAGACAGGCUCUAGUGACAUACAUGGAGAACAAUAGAGCAGGAAUCACAGUGUUUGGAUUCAUGCUUGACAGAACUUGGCUUCACUCCAUUUUUGCCAUUCAAAUGGCUCUUUGCCUUUGGCUACUUAACAAGACAGUCGGUGUUUAGAGACAGAAAGAAACUUAUGUGAUCCUACUACUUUGCUCAUUAUGCAUUUUAUAUAGUCAUUAGUUCAUUUUGAUCUUAUAGUUCUGGUUUUGAUCUAUGAAAUGUAAACGAUGUGGUUGCUCCACAAAUUGCUCAGACUAUCGCAAAUGUGACUUCAUCUAGCUCCUACUACUCAGCGGGACAAAUCCUCAUAUCAGAUGACUCAGAGUACAUUGAAGUGUCGAAAGCAGCUUUUGUUGGUACCAUGUCUUUCUUCUGCUUAAUGCCUCUAUCUCUUAUGAUCUGAUUUCUGGUUAUGGAUGUUCGCGCAUUUUGCCUGAAAAUGGCUGUAGCUACCGGUGUUGCACAUCCAGAUGGAGAUCCUAACAAGAAAUAUGCAAAAAGACACCCUUUUAUGACCUUUGCAGCUCAAUACUACAUUCAAAUCCUCUAAGCCCCAAUACUGAUCCAAAGGGUAUGGUCCUUAUAAUGGUCAAUGACAUUUUGACAAAUGCUACUAACACAUUGAGUUACUUUCUCCCACAAGCAGAUGAUGCU
Molecule: RNA transcript, 1944 nt
Organism: Gastrolobium bilobum
Lineage: Eukaryota; Viridiplantae; Streptophyta; Magnoliopsida; Fabales; Fabaceae
Exons: 5
Source: RefSeq, a predicted model, not a curated record